GUCCCUAACAAGAAACACAUUGUCCGCUUCCCUCCCGCCCCCCCUUCUUGGCCGAAGCCACGUUUGCGCGCCGGCCGCGAUGCCCCGGCCAAGUCCAUGACUUCAGAGCGGAGGAACCCGCCCCGCACCACGAGCGCGCCCGCCCGGCGGCCACCCCGCCGCGCCCCGCCGCUGUCCCGCCGACAGGUCUGGGGCUCAGGCCGGGGCCGGGCCGGGGCGCGCUCGGCGGCGGACACGCGUCCUGUGCCCGCGGCGCUUUGGCCACUGCCCUUUUCCGACCCGGGAGGCCGCCUCUGGGGCACUGGUGGCACCCAGGAGGCGCCAGCGCGCAUAAUUCUAAACGCUGGUCUCUUCGGUUGGCCGGUGGAAAGACGUUGGUUUUUAAACGAUUUGAAAUCCUUCUCUCCACGCUCCCCCGGCCCCCGCCAGUCUUUGAGGCUUCCACUCCCACGUCCCUAAAAAUGAUAAUUUACGAUAUUUCUUCUCCCCAGUUGGAAAUAGCACGAGGGUUCUCUAAGCCCCCUGACUCCUGUCACAGGUCACUGCCACCCUUGUCCGCGAGAGGAGACAGGACCUAGGACAGCAUUUUCGGGAGGUGUGAUGGGGACCCAGUCCGCAGCGGGGACCCGCGGGGAGCAGUCCCUGGGCACCCAGCGUCAGCUCUUUCUGGAUCGCGCUGUCUUCCCCCGCCGCUGACGCCUGGGCCCGCCCGUCUGAAGGCUGGGGCUGUGGGUCUGCGGGCCCUGGGAGGAAAGGCUGGUGGAAUUAAGUGGUAUAUGUUAUGGUAACCAUCUCUGCCCUUCCAGGAGUCCUUGGGAAGCGCCCAGACAUUCCAUUUCAAAGAAGAAAGGGCGACACGAUGGCCCUCUUUAAGGCCAGAUUAAACAUUCACACUGGGUAAGAGUAAUCACUUACAAGCCCAUGCCGGCUGGCCCGUUCUGCUCUUCCUCUGAACCCCAGGAUUUAGGAAAAGGAGAUGCCGUCCCCAUUUUACAAAGGAAGAAACUGGGGCACAGAAGGACAGCCGCCCCUGUGAGCCCACACGCCCUACACAGCAUCCUGUGACGAUCCGCAGGGGCGCCACCUUGACCCCCGGUGGGAUAUUGGUUAUUUUUUUACCUUGAAGUGUGUUCCAGUUCUGCAGAAAUUUAUAAAACACAUUGUUGUCCCCGUCCUCAGAAGGUCCCACCGAGUGCCGGAGCCUGACUCUAUUAAGAACUCGGAUGUGAGGAUGUCACACCUGAGUAUGUGCAGCAGUCGUCUUUAUAGGCAGAGUCCAGGGGCCCAUCUCCAGAAAGUCUGAUUAACCGGGUUUGGUGAGCAGCCCAGGAAACAGCCUGAGGAAAUGCUGAUGCAGGAGGUGCAGGCGCCACACUCUGAGACGCUUUGGCUUAGCCACUGGCCUCUUCCGUCCAUCCUACAGGGUGAGAACGAGCUAUCUUGGACCUCCUGAGGAUCCAAACAUUUUAUUUAUUUAUUUAACAAAACUCUAGAACACAAGAGACGUUUAUUAUAUUUUUACCCCCGUUUUUACUUUCUCUCUUAUUCUUUUUUCUUGAUGUUCCACUAUUCUUUCUUCUACCAUUUCCUUUCUGUUUCAAGGGCCUCCUUUAGACAUUCUUUCAAGGUAGAUCUGCUGGUGAUGAGUUCUCCUGCAUCUGAGAAGGUCUUGUUAGCCUCUCAAUUCCCGAAGGAUGUUUUUGCUGGAUCUAGGCUUCUGGGCUAGAGUUCUUUCAGCAUUUGCGAUCACUUCCUUGGUGCAUCCAUGAUUAUGGAUGAGAAAUCAGCUGGGUUUUGUUUUUUGUUUUUUCAAAUUUCUUUUUCUUCUGUAGAUAAGGUGCUAUUUCUCCCUGUGUUUUUAAAUAUUUUCACAUCUUCACUUUUCAGAAAUUUGACCAUGAUGUAUUUUCUUGAUAUCUUCUGUUUCUUUACUGAGUUUUUUUUUUUUUUUUUCUUUUUUGGAGCAUAUUCGUACUGCUCAUUGAAAGACUUUUUUGGUGGCUGUUAUAAAAUCCUUAUGAGUUAAUUCCAACAUCAUGUCAACUCAGUCUUGACAACUGUUGUCUUUUCUCAUUCAAGUGGAGCUUUUCCUGGUUCUUGGUAUGAUGAGUGAUUUUUGAUUGAAACCUGAACUUUUUGGGUGUUAUGAAACUCUGGAUCUUAACUGCAUCUGCUAUUAGAGCAGGCCUCUGCUGACGCCACCCUGGCUGGGGAGGGGGUGAGGUGUCUUCUCCGACCCUGCAGAGUGGUCUCCAACCUACACUGUGGGGGCAACGGUCUCUUACCUCCAGAAGGAUGUGGAUACCCCAGCUUCUUGCUCAGCCUUCUCUGAGACCACCCAGUGGGCAAGGGGAGCAGUGCCUGGCUAUUGCUGUGUGGUGGUGAAAGUCCAGGCUCCCAGGUGACCUCUGCUGACCCUGUUGAGAGGGCUCAUUGCCGACUAGCAGCACCGGAUGCCCCCGCUCCCCACCCCACCAUCUGUAACACCGCCCUUCUGUAGAGGGAGGCUGGGGUGGGGGCGCCUCCUGGCAGUAGGGCGAGGGCGAGGGCGAGGGAUCUUACGUAGAUGAAACUGUGGGGCUUGCUUGGAGCAGUGUGGUCAUUGUCGAGGUGUUUUCUAUCUUCCCAGGCUGCCUUGUUCCUGGUUCACUGCUUGAGAGAGCAGGCUUUUCUUGUUUUCUUUUCGCUUGUGUCCAUUGGCCUUUCUGGGUGCCAGGUUCCCCGGCAUCGGGCCUGGGAAAUAAGAAGCACAAAAAACAAAACAAACAAACAAAAAAACAGAGAAAACAUCACCAUGCCCUUCCUUGGGCCCCACCGUCGCCAGCCAGGCUGCCCUUCUCUCCACCUCUCAGCGUCUUCUGAUUUUUGUUUUCUCUCCAACGUCCAGAGUUUUAGCUCUCUUUAGCAGGAGGAACAGGGAGAGGUACAUCUACAUCAUCUUAUGUGGAACUAGAAGUUUCUGUAUGUUAAUUGUUAAAUAAAAUGGAAAACUAUUCACAUUUCUGUAUUGUUUGGCUUUGGAAAGCACCUUCCCAUGUACCUUACUUCAUCAAGCCGUGGAGUUUAAAAAUAUGAUUUAAGUCUUGUUUUAUUAGGCCCAACCUGGCCCUGACUGCAGGUGUCUAGAGGUCUGACAGCUGUAGAAUUCCUGGCUUAGACAGUAUUGUCCUCAGCCUUGCCAUCUCCCCCUGGUCGCAGCGGCCAUCAGCCAGUCACCCUGGGCCCGGGUUCCUGGCUCCUCCACCUGUACGAAGAGGCUCAAACUGUGGGGCAGGCUGGACGGGAGCACUUCAGCACCGACCCGCACUCCGCAAAGUGUGGCACCAGGGCCUGCAGCCUGGGAGCACGGAGGCCAGUGGACUCUGGCUCCGGUCCAGACCUACUGAGUCAGAACCUUUUGGGGAACCAGAGCUGCCGCCAGUGAGGGGCCGCCUGGAGCUGUGGAAGGAGCCAGGAGCAGAGAUGCUCGAACACCUGCUUCCACCUUUAUCUCCGGCUUUAUCCUUUAAGGUGGGUGGUACUGCAGGGCCAGGUGGCGGGUGGGGUGAGGACUGGACCCCAGGGUGCCCAUUCCUUCCGCUGUCCAUGGGGAGUGGGAAUGUCUUUGGAUGGGGAACAAGUGAGGGCUUGUGUGGGAAGCAGGCCUGGGAGGUGCUGGGCACUGCAGUGGGGCUGUUAGUCCCAGGGUGGGGUCAGGGUGGUAGGGGGGUCCUUCUGGCUGAGAGCACAGAGCCUGGGAAUUGCUGGGUCAGGGCUCCCACCCACCAAACACCUCCACCCCACAAGGCGGGUGGCGUCUCAGCCCCCUCACUCCAGCACAGGCCUGGCAUGAGGUCUUUCACGGCCUGACGUCCCUAAACCCUACAAGACCCUCAGGUUGGCACCUGCUCGCACUCCUGUCUCACCUGCCAGGAAGCUGCCCUGUAACCCGUCCUGUCAAUGCAGCCAGGAGAUGGGGCUCAGAAUCUGGACCCUGGACUAUCUGGCUUCAAAGUCCGAUCUCUGACUGAGUUCCUCCCUAAGGCUUUCU
This 4030-nucleotide long non-coding RNA is filed under the name Sus scrofa (pig). RNAcentral describes it as "lncRNA (ENSSSCG00000059216.1)". The record is from RNAcentral. Lineage: Eukaryota; Metazoa; Chordata; Mammalia; Artiodactyla; Suidae.